This 2893-nucleotide long non-coding RNA is filed under the name Triticum aestivum (bread wheat). RNAcentral describes it as "long non-coding RNA (TAES_LNC002291)". Lineage: Eukaryota; Viridiplantae; Streptophyta; Magnoliopsida; Poales; Poaceae. The record is from RNAcentral.
CCACUAUUAUUUUCAGUGUAAUAUCCACUACAAAAAUGCACUGCAGAGGGGAAGAACAUGGAGGGGGGAACAGCUAGAGGAAACGGGAAUAAGCGCCAACCAAGGGGGCGAUUCCUCCAUGAUCUGGGACAGAAACCUGAAGAUGAUCCACUCUGCCGAAGAUGACUAAACACAGGUAAACACCCCCAACUUUGCAAUCACCACAUACUAAGUAUGAUUUAGACAGAUUUCUCUCCCCUGCCUGUCUACAUCAGAAAUCAAACAAAAGGCGCCUGUGAACCAUUAUAUAUACAUGCUGGAGAGACAAAUAAACUAAAAAAAGAUGAAUUCUGGAACUUUACACUAGAACCAGGAAAUCAAAACUAGAUCCAGGAAGAACCCUAGGAUCCUAUGAGUCUAGGGGUGCAGGAGCAGAAAGGUUAGGAAACAAAAAAUCCAUGUUAAAUUCGUGAAUUUCAGAACUAGUAGGAAGUUUCUGAAUUGAAAACAACAGAUACAACCCAUGGAAAUGAGUAUAAAAAAGAUAGGGGAUCACAUGUUCUGGGAGAUAAAAUACAAAAAGUUAGGAAAAUCCUUGAACAAACAAGUUAGAAUUGCUAUAUUUUCAUAAAGCUAGGACUGUAAUUCAGAAACUUUCGCACACACAAACUAUACACUAAUCAGGAACUUAGAUCAUGAUUACAAAAUAACUCUUGUAAAGAAGCUAGGGCUGAAUUUUAUAAACUUUGGAACUACAUAGAAAGACCUUUCUUUCCUACUUGAAGUUCAAAUUGCUACAAACUACUAUUUGUAAACACAAAUGAGUACACACAGGCAGUAAUAAAAUGAUCAAUUAUCAUAUCAAUUAAGCCUAUGAACUGACAAAAAGGGGCAAACACAUGUACAAGCAGACAGUACAUGUUUCAAGAUUAACAGAACAAUGCUUAUAUACAUGUUUACAUUACAGGUGCCUGCAAAGGAAUCAAAUGGGAUGGAAACAAGCAUGAAGGGCCAGAAUUUGUACCUCGAACAUGAUGAAGCUAAGUUCCUUAAUGUAUGACUCUCUUAUAGCAUUAACAAAUCCUGUGAAAAGAAAACCGAUUCAAUCAUGCUUUUCUAAAUUGGUUAUUGACAACAAAACAGAGCGGAGCAUACUUGUUUACUCAACAAAACAAUGCAAGUCCACUGAGAGUUACAGUGUAAAUCCAAUAAGAAUUACACUAUAAAUCCUGGAAUUACACUGUAAAACCCACUAAAUUUUACGGUGUAAGUCCACUGAGAGAUACAAUGUAAAUUCAAUGUGAAUUCCCCUAAAUAUAAUACAUAGAUAAUCCAACCCCUACUCAAAUGCAGAUUACAAAGGGGUAAAAUACCGUCCCUACCCAAAAGCACUAAGGAUUACAGUGUAAAUCCACUGAAAUUACACUGAAAAAUAUCAAGAGUUACAGUGUAAAAAACACUGAAAAUCACAGUGUAAAUCCACUAAAAACUACAGAGUAAAUCCACUGAAAAUACACUGAAAUACUCAAGAGUAACAGUGCAAAUUCCACUGGAAAAUUACAGUCUAAAUCCAGUAAAAAAUACAUUGUAAAUCCACUGAAGAUUACACUGUAAAAAUCAAGAGUUACAAUGCAUGUCCACUGGAAAUUACAGUGCAAAUCCACUAAAAACUACGGUGUAAAUCCACUUAAGCUUACAUUGUAAAUCCACUGAAAAUUACACUGUAAAAGUCAAGAGUUAAGAUGCAAGUCCAUUGGAAAUUACAGUGCAAAUCUACUAAAAUCUACAGUGUAAAUCCACUUACGCUUACAUUGUAAAUCCACUAAGAAUCCUUUGAACCCACUAAAGAAUUACAUUACAAAAUGCACUAAUGAUACAUUGAAAAUGCAUUGAGAAUUACACUACAAAAAAAUCACCUAAAUUACUAAAGUAAUUACACUGUAAAUCCACUGAGAAUUACAGUGUAAAACUACUAGGAAUACACACUAAAAUCUUCACUGUAAUUGCACUGAAAUCACCACUGUAAUUACAAUUCAAAAGCACUGUAAUUCCAGUGAAAAUGCCCACAAUAAUUACACUGAAAAUUCACUGAAACAUACACUGUACUUACAAUGCAAAUUUCAGUGAAAUUACACUAGAUUUCUAAUGAAAACACAUGAGUUUCAGAGACUGGAACACAAUGUAAUCAUAUUAAAUUAGCUGUGAUUACACUGAUUUUUAUAGAUUCAUACAAACUAUGAGCUAGAUUCAGCAUCUACAUCCAAACAGGAGGGGUCCGUAGCGACAACUACAGGAGGGAUGGUACACAGUAGGAGUUCAGCAUCUACAACCAACCAGGAGGGAUCCACCUCGACAACUACAAGAGGGAUCCACUAAAGUAAAUGAACACAACUAGGAGCUACUCGUCACAAUGGCAAGUUUGACAACUAGAGGGCAAUCUGGAAGCACAAAAAAUCAACAAUAUACAGGAAGGAUCCACCACUACAUAUACAUCGAACCACCACACCUGUAUAACAUCCAAAACAUCUAGGAACCACGGCAACACAGGGCAACAUACAAGAUUCGCCGGAUCUAGCAAAAUUCGAACAGAAAAAACAGGGAGAGGAACAAGGGGGGCAAGGAUACUUACAAAACCAACCAUGGAUGGAGGAUGAGGAGGGGGUACAAGGUUCGCAGAUCCACUCGAGGAAUAUGAGGAGUGGCACGAAGUCAAGAGAAGCAGAGAAGACAACGCAGCCAGAUCGCCAUGGCAUCGAUUUCGCCUCUCCCUCUGCGCGCGCUUGAGCACAAGGAAGCAGAGGAUGGGAAAGGGGAGUUGGAGCGGAUGCUUAACCACCGGCUUGCCCACGAGAGAUCAGCUACUGAAAUCUCUAGUCAAAAAUCGCCAUGAAUCAACGCCUCAAGCUCGCGCCGC